This 61-nucleotide transfer RNA is filed under the name Corallorhiza odontorhiza. RNAcentral describes it as "partial tRNA-Phe". RNAcentral also lists the same sequence under 1 other name. The record is from RNAcentral. Lineage: Eukaryota; Viridiplantae; Streptophyta; Magnoliopsida; Asparagales; Orchidaceae.
GUGGGGAUAGGUGAGUUGGUAGAGGAGAGGAGUGAAAAUGGUGGUGUGAGGAGUUGAAAUA